Molecule: ribosomal RNA, 350 nt
Filed under: Bacillus subtilis
Lineage: Bacteria; Bacillati; Bacillota; Bacilli; Caryophanales; Bacillaceae
Description: bacterial SSU rRNA
Rfam family: Bacterial small subunit ribosomal RNA
Source: RNAcentral
GGCUCGCAGGCGGUUUCUUAAGUCUGAUGUGAAAGCCCCCGGCUCAUCCGGGGAGGGUCAUUGGAAACUGGGGAACUUGAGUGCAGCUUAAGAGAGUGGAAUUCCACGUGUAGCGGUGAAAUGCGUAGAGAUGUGGAGGAACACCAGUGGCGAAGGCGACUCUCUGGUCUGUAACUGACGCUGAGGAGCGAAAGCGUGGGGAGCGAACAGGAUUAGAUACCCUGGUACUCCACGCCGUAAACGAUGAGUGCUAAGUGUUAGGGGGUUUCCGCCCCUUACUGCUGCCGCUAACGCAUUAACCCCUCCGCCUGGGGAGUACGGUCGCAAGACUGAAACUCAAAGGAAUUGAC